RNAcentral lists this ribosomal RNA (300 nucleotides) under uncultured Fervidobacterium sp. RNAcentral's name for it is "bacterial SSU rRNA". The stretch from base 52 to 300 matches the Rfam family "Bacterial small subunit ribosomal RNA", at positions 547 to 795 of the family's 1533-position model. The record is from RNAcentral. Lineage: Bacteria; Thermotogati; Thermotogota; Thermotogae; Thermotogales; Fervidobacteriaceae.
UCGACCUAUGUGCAAGAGGGUGGGGGAGAACGGGGGGUGGUAGCUGUAGUGGGGAUGACUGGGGGUAAGGCGGUGGGAGGCGGCUUUGAGAGUCGGGUGUGAAAUCCCCAGGCUUAACCUGGGAACUGCAUUGGAGACUGCAUUGGUAGAGUAGGGGAGAGGGAAGUGGAAUUUCCGGUGUAGCGGUGAAAUGCGUAGAUAUCGGAAGGAACAUCAGUGGCGAAAGCGACUUCCUGGACCAAUACUGACGCUCAUGUGCGAAAGCGUGGGGAGCAAACAGGAUUAGAUACCCGAGUAGUC